ACUCCUACGGGAGGCAGCAGUAAGGAAUAUUGGUCAAUGGGCGCAAGCCUGAACCAGCCAUGCCGCGUGCAGGAAGACGGCCCUAUGGGUUGUAAACUGCUUUUAUCAGGGAAUAAACCUUUGUACGUGUACAAAGCUGAAGGUACCUGAAGAAUAAGCAUCGGCUAACUCCGUGCCAGCAGCCGCGGUAAUACGGAGGAUGCAAGCGUUAUCCGGAUUCAUUGGGUUUAAAGGGUGUGCAGGCGGAUUGGUAAGUCAGGGGUGAAAUCCCACAGCUCAACUGUGGAACUGCCUUUGAUACUGUCAGUCUAGAGUAUAGUUGAAGUGGGCGGAAUGUGUCAUGUAGCGGUGAAAUGCUUAGAUAUGACACAGAACACCGAUCGCGAAGGCAGCUCGCUAAGCUAUAACUGACGCUCAUGCACGAAAGCGUGNGGGAUCGAACAGGAUUAGAUACCCUGGUAGUC
This 464-nucleotide ribosomal RNA is filed under the name uncultured bacterium. RNAcentral's name for it is "bacterial SSU rRNA". It matches the Rfam family "Bacterial small subunit ribosomal RNA", at positions 335 to 795 of the family's 1533-position model. The record is from RNAcentral.